Molecule: ribosomal RNA, 253 nt
Filed under: uncultured bacterium
Lineage: Bacteria
Description: partial 16S ribosomal RNA
Rfam family: Bacterial small subunit ribosomal RNA
Source: RNAcentral
UACAGAGGGGGCAAGCGUUGUUCGGAAUUACUGGGCGUAAAGGGUGCGUAGGUGGUGAGGUAAGUCGGAUGUGAAAUCUCCGAGCUCAACUCGGAAACUGCAUUGGAAACUACCUUGCUCGAGGGUUGGAGGGGGGACUGGAAUGCUUGGUGUAGCAGUGAAAUGCGUAGAUAUCGGGAGGAACACCAGUGGCGAAGGCGACUACCUGGCCUGUUCUUGACGCUGAGGCGCGAAAGCUAGGGGAGCAAACGGG